AAGGGAGGCUCCGGUCCGCUCUGA
RNAcentral lists this non-coding RNA (24 nucleotides) under Gallus gallus (chicken). The record is from miRBase by way of RNAcentral. Lineage: Eukaryota; Metazoa; Chordata; Aves; Galliformes; Phasianidae.